Passer montanus (Eurasian tree sparrow) is the source of this 153-nucleotide long non-coding RNA. RefSeq lists it as uncharacterized. The record is from RefSeq and is a predicted model, not a curated record. NCBI's taxonomy places the organism in Eukaryota, Metazoa, Chordata, Aves, Passeriformes, Passeridae. The transcript has 3 exons.
UGGGCGGGGCCAGCACCAAGCUGCUCACCGCCAGGUGUGUCCCGCUCUGGGUCGGCGCGCGGGGGGUGGAGUUCGACUGGAGGCACCUCCAGAUGGGGCUGGACUCCAACAUCAGCCUGGUGCGCCACGUGGCCGCGGCCGCGCUGCUCUGGG